This 1240-nucleotide ribosomal RNA is filed under the name metagenome. RNAcentral describes it as "bacterial LSU rRNA". It matches the Rfam family "Bacterial large subunit ribosomal RNA", at positions 1564 to 2815 of the family's 2925-position model. The record is from RNAcentral.
UGAAUACGAGAUGCUACGGCGUCGAAGCAGUGUAUGUCAGACUUCCAAGAAAAGCUCAAUGUCAUAAAUAAAGAAUGCCUGUACCAUAACCGACACAGGUGGGUAGGUAGAGUAUACUAAGGGGCGCGAGAUAACUCUCUCUAAGGAACUCGGCAAAAUAACUCCGUAACUUCGGGAGAAGGAGUGCCUUCUAUUAGAAGGUUGCAAUAACAAGAUCCAAGCAACUGUUUAUCAAAAACACAGGUCUCCGCUAAGUCGUAAGACGAUGUAUGGGGGCUGACGCCUGCCCAGUGCCAGAAGGUUAAAGAAGUUGGUUAGCUUUGGCGAAGCUGAUGACUGAAGCCCUGGUGAACGGCGGCCGUAACUAUAACGGUCCUAAGGUAGCGAAAUUCCUUGUCGGGUAAGUUCCGACCCGCACGAAAGGCGUAAUGAUUUGGAUACUGUCUCGGAGAGGGACUCGGUGAAAUAGACUUGUCUGUGAAGAUGCGGACUACCUGCACCAGGACAGAAAGACCCUAUGAAGCUUUACUGUAACUUGAAAUUGAAAUUGGACUUUAUUUGCGCAGCAUAGGUGGAAGGCGUUGAGAUUACUCUUGCGGGAGUACUGGAGCCAUCAGUGAGAUACCACUCCUAUAAUGUUAGAUUUCUAACUUUGGAUCAUGAUCUGGUCAAAGAACAGUUUCAGGCGGGCAGUUUGACUGGGGCGGUCGCCUCCCAAAUGGUAACGGAGGCGUACAAAGGUUUCCUCUGAACGGGUAGAAAUCGUAUCUAGAGUGUAAAGGCAUAAGGAAGCUUGACUGUGAGACCUACAAGUCGAGCAGGGACGAAAGUCGGUCUUAGUGAUCUGACGGUGCUGAGUGGAAAGGCCGUCACUCAACGGAUAAAAGUUACUCUAGGAUAACAGGCUGAUCUCCCCCAAGAGUUCACAUCGACGGGGAGGUUUGGCACCUCGAUGUCGGCUCAUCGCAUCCUGGGGCGGUAGUACGUCCCAAGGGUUGGGCUUUUCGCCCAUGAAAGCGGUACGCGAGCUGGGUUCAGAACGUCGUGAGACAGUUCGGUCCAUAUCCGGUGUAGGCGUUAGAAUAUUGAGAGGAGCCUUCUUUAGUACGAGAGGACCGAGAAGGACAUACCUCUGGUGUACCAGUUAUCGUGCCAACGGUAAACGCUGGGUAGCUAUGUAUGGAGAGGAUAACCGCUGAAAGCAUCUAAGUGGGAAGCCUACCUCAAGAUGAGUAUUCUC